CCUACGGGCGGCUGCAGUGGGGAAUAUUGCACAAUGGGGGAAACCCUGAUGCAGCGACGCCGCGUGAGUGAAGAAGUAUCUCGGUACGUAAAGCUCUAUUAGCAGGGAAGAAAAUGACGGUACCUGACUAUGAAGCCCCGGCUAACGACGUGCCAGCAGCCGCGGGCAUACGGAGGGGGCAAGCGUUAUCCGGAUUUACUGGGUGUAAAGGGAGCGUAGGCGGCAGUACAAGUCUGGAGUGAAAUCCCGGGGCUUAACCCCGGAGCUGCUUUGGAAACUGGGCGGCUGGAGUGCAGGAGGGGUAAGCGGAAUUCCUGGUGUAGCGGUGAAAUGCGUAGAUAUUAGGAGGAACACCGGUGGCGAAGGCGGCUUACUGGACUGUAACUGACGUUGAGGCUCGAAAGCGUGGGGAGCAAACAGGAUUAGAUACCCUGGUAGUC
Molecule: ribosomal RNA, 440 nt
Filed under: uncultured bacterium
Lineage: Bacteria
Description: partial 16S ribosomal RNA
Rfam family: Bacterial small subunit ribosomal RNA
Source: RNAcentral